CUCAGAUUAGAUGUGGUAACGACACUUUCUUCGUGAGUUCGUAAGGACGACAAAAUUACAAAACUUGGACUAAAAAUGUUCUCUCCAUUUCCAAUUGAAGACGCGCCGAGCGCAAUUAGAUCAUCAUCAGCGAAACGCACCAAGCUGCUGGUCCAUAUCUCGGCAUGGGCCACAAGGAUACUUGCCCUUUUAAGCAUCAUCUUCGCUGUCGUUUCCUUUACGAUGUUACAUGAUGUCUGGCUUGGAUCUGUUAUGUGUGUCACAGCAGCAUUCAGCAUUUUGAGUCCAUUAAACUUUAACGCUUGCUGUUAUUCGGAUUGUUCGGGAAAUACAACAUUUGUAAAG
Mya arenaria is the source of this 345-nucleotide long non-coding RNA. RefSeq lists it as uncharacterized. NCBI's taxonomy places the organism in Eukaryota, Metazoa, Mollusca, Bivalvia, Myida, Myidae. The transcript is spliced from 3 exons. The record is from RefSeq and is a predicted model, not a curated record.